ACAGGGAUUGCCCUAGUAACGGCGAGUGAAGCGGCAACAGCUCAAAUUUGAAAUCUGGCUCUUUCAGAGUCCGAGUUGUAAUUUGCAGAGGGCGCUUUGGCGUUGGCAGCGGUCCAAGUUCCUUGGAACAGGACGUCACAGAGGGUGAGAAUCCCGUACGUGGUCGCUGGCCUUCGCCGUGUAAAGCCCCUUCGACGAGUCGAGUUGUUUGGGAAUGCAGCUCUAAAUGGGAGGUAAAUUUCUUCUAAAGCUAAAUACUGGCCAGAGACCGAUAGCGCACAAGUAGAGUGAUCGAAAGAUGAAAAGCACUUUGGAAAGAGAGUCAAAUAGCACGUGAAAUUGUUGAAAGGGAAGCGCUUGCAGCCAGACUUGCCUGUAGUUGCUCAUCCGGGCUUUUGCCCGGUGCACUCUUCUGCGGGCAGGCCAGCAUCAGUUUGGGCGGUUGGAUAAAGGUCUCUGUCAUGUACCUCCUUUCGGGGAGGCCUUAUAGGGGAGACGUCAUGCAACCAGCCUGGACUGAGGUCCGCGCAUUUAUGCUAGGAUGCUGGCGUAAUGGCUGUAAGCGGCCCGUCUUGAAACACGGACCAAGGAGUCUAACAUCUAUGCGAGUGUUUGGGUGUCAAGCCCGAACGCGUAAUGAAAGUGAACGGAGGUGGGACCCCUUUAGGGUGCACCAUCGACCGAUCCUGAUGUCUUCGGAUGGAUUUGAGUAAGAGCAUGGCUGUUGGGACCCGAAAGAUGGUGAACUAUGCUUGAAUAGGGUGAAGCCAGAGGAAACUCUGGUGGAGGCUCGCAGCGGUUCUGACGUGCAAAUCGAUCGUCAAAUUUGGGCAUAGGGGCGAAAGACUAA
RNAcentral lists this ribosomal RNA (850 nucleotides) under Camarosporidiella caraganicola. RNAcentral describes it as "eukaryotic LSU rRNA". It matches the Rfam family "Eukaryotic large subunit ribosomal RNA", at positions 68 to 934 of the family's 3401-position model. RNAcentral also lists the same sequence under 1 other name. The record is from RNAcentral. Lineage: Eukaryota; Fungi; Ascomycota; Dothideomycetes; Pleosporales.